GGCGCCCAGCUGUGCAAAUGAAUCCAGGCGCUGUUUAAGAAUGUAUGUUCAUAAAUCAAACUCGUGUCAUGUUAACAGCUUCCCUUAAACAAUGUCUUCAUGUAUUCCAACAGCAGUUUCAGAGUAAAGCAAUUUCACUGAAUUACCAGCCAAUUAUGAUUCUGUCAUUAGAUUUUGUUGCUGUAACCUCAGUUAAUUUGUGUCCCCUGUCUUUCUGUCUCCCCCUCUCUCCUCUUUCUCUCCGUCUUUUGCUCCAACUCUCGUUCUUUUGUGUUUGGGUUUUUCGGGUUGGGAUUUGUGACAUGGGGCAUACUAGGGGGGAUACACAGCUUUACACAUUGCAGCACUUCACGGCCAUCGGCAUAUAGUUGACCUUCUUGUUAAUACGUAUGGAGCAAAGGAGAAUCUGAGGGACUACAGUGGUCGUUUUGCAUAUUAUUACCUCAAUAUAGAGACGCAAUCAAACAAUCAAGACAAUGAAUUUUCUGAUGCCAAUGAAUGCCACAGUCUUGUCCAGGCCAGCGAGCGCAGAAACAGAAAGAUUACGUCACUAUUUCAGUCCAUGAAGAAAUGGGGAUCUGCAGAAGAUCUUGCGCCAGUACCAGAGGAGAGGACAGUUGCUCACCAACUCAUGCUACCUGCAUUCAGGCCCAGAAAGUUCUCACGGUAGACUAGGUGAACUCCAAAAGCAUUCAGUUCUGCUUUAACGCCACUUAGAUUAUUUAUCAAGCUGAACUUGUUUGUACUUUUGUACCAUUUUCAGUUAGGACCAAAGGUUUGAGACUACUAGUUAAAAUGCUGCCAUUUUGCAUUUUUUUUUAUUUAAUACAUUUUAUUACAUCAUAUAUUAUCAGCAUAACAUAUAUAGUAAAAAGUUUAAUUGAAAAUUUGACAUGAAUUCCAGAUUAUCCUAGUAUUUGGAAUGUGCCACUUUUGCUUUAAUGACAGCAUGUACUCAUGUACUACAUAAGUUUGUGCAAAACCUGAUGAUCAUGUUAUCCAGAAUGUGUAUAUAUAUAUAUAUAUAUAUAUAGACAGUGGCAAGAAAUUUGGUGAACCCUUUGGAUUAAGCUGGUUUUCUGCAUUAAUUGGUCAUAAAAUGUGAUCUCAUCUUCAUAAAAGUCACAAAGUAUAGGCAAACACGAUGGUGCUUAAGCUUACAACACACAAACAAUUACAAUCAUUCAUAUCUUUAUUGAAGACAUAACACUUAACAUUCACAGUGCUGUGGAAAAUGUUAGUGAACCCUUGGAUUUUAUAGCUGGUUGAUCCUCCUUUGGCAGCAGUAACCUCAACCAAGCAUUUCUGGUAGCUGCGGAUUAGACCUGCACAACGUUCAGAUGGAAUUUUGGACCAUUUUUCUUACAGAACUGCUUCAGCGCAGCCAUAUUCUUAGGAUCUCUAGUGUGAACGGCUCUCUUGAGGUCAUUCCAGAGCAUCUCUAUUGGGUUAAGUUCUGGGCUCUAACUGGGCCACUCAAAAUGGUGGAUCUUCUUUUUUUGAAGCCAUUCUGCAGUGGAUUUACUUCGAUGUUUAGGAUCAUUGUCUUGCUGCAUCACUCAACUUCUACUGAGCUUCAGCUGGCACACACAGCCACCCUGACAUUAUCCUGUAGGAUUUCUUGAUAAACUUGGGAAUUCAUUUUUCCCAGGCCUUGAACAAGCAAAGCAGACCCAAAUCACGAUACUCCCUCCACCGUACUAUACUGUUGGGAUGAUGUUUUCAUGUUGGUAUGCGGUGCCCUGUUAACACCAUAUGUAAUGCUGUGUGUCCUUCCUAAACAUUUCAGCCGUAGUUUCAUCAGCCCACAAAACAUUUUUGCAUUGUGGAGUGUCAAGGUGGUCUUUGGCAAACUUCAGGCGUGCAGCUAUUUUUUUGUUUGAAUAAAAGCAGCGGCUUCUUUCGAACUGUCCUGCCAUGGACACCAUGCCUGUUUAAUGUUUUCCAUAUAGUAGACUCAUGAGCAGAGAUGUUAACCAGUUCCAGUGAUUCCUUCAAGUCUUCAGCUGUCACUCUAGGGUUCUUUUUUACGUCAUUGAGCAUUCUGUGUUGUGCCCUAUGAGCCAGCUUGGCUGGACGAACACUUCUAAGGAGAGUAACCACAGUACUAAAUCAUCUCCAUUUAUAGACAGUUUGUCUAACUGUGGACAGAUGAAUAUCUAAGCUCUUCGAGAUAACUUUGUAACCCUUUCCAUCUUUAUAUAAAGUAACAAUUCUUUAUCGUAGGUCUUCUGAGAUCUCUUUUUGCAAGGCAUGGUAUACAUCAGCAGAUGCUUCUUGUGAAUAGCAAACUCAAAAUUUUUGAGUGCUUUUUAUAUGUCAAAGUAGCUCAAAUCUUGUUUCAUUAAUUGGAUAUUAGGUUUGCCAACCCCUGACUCUAAUUAGCUUUUGUUGACAUCUAGGGGUUCACUUACUUUUUCCAACCUACACUGUGAAGGUUUGAAUGAUGUAUUCAGUAUGUUCAAGAACAAUACAAUCAUUUGUGUGUUAUUAGUAAAAACAGAUUGUGUUUGUUCAUUAUUGUAACAUCACAUGAAUAAGUAGAUGUACAGGUGUUCCUAAUGAAAGUGGCCGCUGAGGGUAUAUAAAUAUAUAUUUCACAAUCCUACAAUUUGCUGUUUAUUUCCAGGUUAAAUUAAAUUUUGAAUUACAGAUUUUCAAUGUAGUCUUAGACUUUUGGAUCCCACUGUAUUUAGUAUGUUAUGCAGUAUGUUAUCAAGUAUUACAUGUGAGAAGUGUACUGCUUAUAUAUUAUUUCUGCACUUUUCCGUAGAUUAUGGAGUUUAAAGUUUUACAGGUUUCAUUGAACAAUGAAACAAAGCAUUUCAAAUAUCCUAAGAUUCUAGUGUUUUAGCAAGGAGACAGAAUUCAGUUUUACACUUGAUUAGAAGCCAGACUCAUCUUUAAGAGAACUCUGGAGAGUUUUUGAAGAGAGACCAAACUUUUUGAAACUAAAACCAGCUUUGGUUUGCCUUAUCUUCACCUUACAAAACCUUAACUAAAGUCUGAAUGGUUUACGGUUAAUACGAAGGUGACUGAAAUAAAACAUAAAUUCAAAAUGGAGGAUAGGUACCUUCUUAAUAAAUGUCGCUUGUCUUAUUAUGGAUUAUUUAGCAGUGUGUGUUAUUAUAAAGAAAAAAAAAAGUUUAUUUUUAUAAUCUUUCAUCAAAAUAUAAUAGGUUUCACCACAUCUGAAACAACUUUUCCUUUCUGAUGACAUCACCAAGGCUGUGUGGGUGGGGGAACAUAAUAUUAACCAAUAAUAUCAUAGCUUAACAUUUUACAAUCCAAUCAAAUCACUAUAUAAAAUCAAGUUCCCCCUUACAUGAUUUCCCACCGAAAUAUGAAAAUGCAUCACAUUGCGGAAGUCAAAUAGUGUUUGUUGCGAAAGCCAUUUUUUUAGUUUACACCAUUAUUAUUUUUCGAUUUUGAGUUUUUUAAUCCAUUUGUAUAUUAAGACAAAGAUGUCUUUUGCAUUCCAAAGGAUGAUGUUGCAUAAAUCUGCUAAUUUGUGCCUUAUACUGGAGGUCUGGUGGUUUGCAGGAGUGUUAAUGUGUCUUUCUUCGUAUGUUUAUUUUCAUGUAAAUUAUGUUCCCUGAUAUAAUAAAUAAAAAUAAACUGUACUUUCGUUAAAGUUUGCUUUUU
Myxocyprinus asiaticus (Chinese sucker) is the source of this 3645-nucleotide RNA transcript. It is a transcript of the gene named iroquois homeobox 7, with no coding region annotated. The transcript has 4 exons. NCBI's taxonomy places the organism in Eukaryota, Metazoa, Chordata, Actinopteri, Cypriniformes, Catostomidae. The record is from RefSeq and is a predicted model, not a curated record.